CUACGGGUGGCUGCAGUGAGGAAUAUUGCACAAUGGGGGGAACCCUGAUGCAGCAACGCCGCGUGGAGGAUGACGCAUUUCGGUGUGUGAACUCCUUUUAUAUGUCAAGAAAAUGACGGUAGCAUAUGAAUAAGCACCGGCUAACUCCGUGCCAGCAGCCGCGGUAAUACGGAGGGUGCAAGCGUUACUCGGAAUCACUGGGCGUAAAGGACGCGUAGGCGGGUUGGAAAGUCAGGUGUGAAAUCCUACAGCUUAACUGUAGAACUGCACUUGAAACUUCUAAUCUAGAGUAUGGGAGGGGGAGAUGGAAUUAGUGGUGUAGGGGUAAAAUCCGUAGAUAUCACUAGGAAUACCUAAAGCGAAGGCGAUCUCCUGGAACAUAACUGACGCUAAGGCGUGAAAGCGUGGGGAGCAAACAGGAUUAGAUACCCCAGUAGUC
Molecule: ribosomal RNA, 439 nt
Filed under: uncultured bacterium
Lineage: Bacteria
Description: partial 16S ribosomal RNA
Rfam family: Bacterial small subunit ribosomal RNA
Source: RNAcentral